RNAcentral lists this long non-coding RNA (1098 nucleotides) under Coturnix japonica (Japanese quail). Its description in RNAcentral is "lncRNA (ENSCJPG00005017654.1)". The record is from RNAcentral. Lineage: Eukaryota; Metazoa; Chordata; Aves; Galliformes; Phasianidae.
AUGGGUUGUACUUUUAAACAAGCCAAACUAAACUCUAAUUUGAAGUGGGGAGAGGUGAAUACUUCUGUAGCAAUUGCCACCAGACAGAGUGUUGAAUUCUGUUUUUCUUUGCUCCUGGAAGGAAGACAGAUGAGCAGGAGUGAACAGUACAUUUGGAUGACUCACCUCCCAUGGAGAGAUGAUGUACCAAGUAACCUCAGGCCAGACUGUUUGUCAGUAUUGUACUGCAAGGCAAGACUUGACUUUCCAAUAUAUUGCUCCAAAGAUUUUAAUUGAACUGUAAAUACACAGAGUCCAUCGCAGGCAGUAAUUUUCUUUCUGUGCAUGGCAAAAUAAGAGACAGUAGAUUAGAGAAGUACUGUGUUAUCACUGACAUGGAAGAAUGCAGGAAGAGCUGGUGGAUGCACAUUUGUUACAAGUUAUAGGGUGACAGAAAUGGAGGAAGGAGAGGCCUCGUUCCAGUCUCUUUUCCUCAUACAACUGAGAAAUGGAGUGUGGAAAAUUAUCAGGAACUGGUAUCCAGGCAUGUGACAGGGUGAAGUCCAGUCCCACCCACAUCCUGUAGAAAAAGGCAGUGGGUAUGGCUAACACACGCAGAAGACAUUCAUUCACUGAAGACUUAGGAAGGGGCAAAUUUGUGUUCUUGGUCCAUGAAUAGUUUCUGUACUCAAAAUCACUAUGUCUGUGUUUUCUUCCACUUAAAGAAACACUGAAGUUAUUGACAAUUACUAUGAGUACUUGGGAGUGCAUACCUAAGUGACAAGCGAGGAGAUAACAGAAACGUUUCACGAAGAGCCUGCAGAUGUCUGAGAAAUUAAUAGUUUGAUUAAAACAGGAUGAGGACCAGUGAUCAGGAUCUAAUUAUGUUCAGUCUGGGUGAGGAAAAAAGAUGCUAACAUCACUACAAAUUCUCAGUGCUGCCAAGGCAAUCCUGCAUGCACCACAGGAAAAAAAUGUGAACAGAAAUCAUGUAAAGGAAGAUAUCAGAAUGGAAUCAUAAAUAGAGACAGUACUUAUUUUAGAAGAAGAGUCCAGGAAAAUGCAAGUAUUCUGCCUGCAAGAAAUAAAGCAGCAUUGCUGAAAAACUUGCCUUGGUUU